CGAAUGCUGACAUAAGUAACGAUAAAGCGGGUGAAAAGCCCGCUCGCCGGAAGACCAAGGGUUCCUGUCCAACGUUAAUCGGGGCAGGGUGAGUCGACCCCUAAGGCGAGGCCGAAAGGCGUAGUCGAUGGGAAACAGGUUAAUAUUCCUGUACUUGGUGUUACUGCGAAGGGGGGACGGAGAAGGCUAUGUUGGCCGGGCGACGGUUGUCCCGGUUUAAGCGUGUAGGCUGGUUUUCCAGGCAAAUCCGGAAAAUCAAGGCUGAGGCGUGAUGACGAGGCACUACGGUGCUGAAGCAACAAAUGCCCUGCUUCCAGGAAAAGCCUCUAAGCAUCAGGUAACAUCAAAUCGUACCCCAAACCGACACAGGUGGUCAGGUAGAGAAUACCAAGGCGCUUGAGAGAACUCGGGUGAAGGAACUAGGCAAAAUGGUGCCGUAACUUCGGGAGAAGGCACGCUGAUAUGUAGGUGAAGUCCCUCGCGGAUGGAGCUGAAAUCAGUCGAAGAUACCAGCUGGCUGCAACUGUUUAUUAAAAACACAGCACUGUGCAAACACGAAAGUGGACGU
RNAcentral lists this ribosomal RNA (568 nucleotides) under Escherichia coli. Its description in RNAcentral is "partial 23S ribosomal RNA". It matches the Rfam family "Bacterial large subunit ribosomal RNA", at positions 1291 to 1844 of the family's 2925-position model. The record is from RNAcentral. Lineage: Bacteria; Pseudomonadati; Pseudomonadota; Gammaproteobacteria; Enterobacterales; Enterobacteriaceae.